GCCUAGGAAUCUGCCUGGUAGUGGGGGACAACGUUUCGAAAGGAACGCUAAUACCGCAUACGUCCUACGGGAGAAAGCAGGGGACCUUCGGGCCUUGCGCUAUCAGAUGAGCCUAGGUCGGAUUAGCUAGUUGGUGAGGUAAUGGCUCACCAAGGCGACGAUCCGUAACUGGUCUGAGAGGAUGAUCAGUCACACUGGAACUGAGACACGGUCCAGACUCCUACGGGAGGCAGCAGUGGGGAAUAUUGGACAAUGGGCGAAAGCCUGAUCCAGCCAUGCCGCGUGUGUGAAGAAGGUCUUCGGAUUGUAAAGCACUUUAAGUUGGGAGGAAGGGCAGUAAAUUAAUACUUUGCUGUUUUGACGUUACCGACAGAAUAAGCACCGGCUAACUCUGUGCCAGCAGCCGCGGUAAUACAGAGGGUGCAAGCGUUAAUCGGAAUUACUG
RNAcentral lists this ribosomal RNA (445 nucleotides) under Pseudomonas sp. RNAcentral describes it as "bacterial SSU rRNA". It matches the Rfam family "Bacterial small subunit ribosomal RNA", at positions 115 to 556 of the family's 1533-position model. The record is from RNAcentral. Lineage: Bacteria; Pseudomonadati; Pseudomonadota; Gammaproteobacteria; Pseudomonadales; Pseudomonadaceae.